RNAcentral lists this unclassified non-coding RNA (305 nucleotides) under Hevea brasiliensis (rubber tree). The record is from RNAcentral. Lineage: Eukaryota; Viridiplantae; Streptophyta; Magnoliopsida; Malpighiales; Euphorbiaceae.
AAACAAAAUACUUUUCUAUCUUAUGAUUGAUUUUCAUGGCAAUGGUCUUCCAUAAAUGUUGCCUUCGCCUCUGUAUGCAUUAUUGCAAUGGGUACAAGGACUUUAUAUUGCAUUAACCAGAAACAUUUUAUGCUGUUAAAAGUAGGUGGUUUAUAUCAUAUGUAAUUUUUCUUUUUUCACUUUUUUCUGCAUUUAUCUUUUCUUUCUGGAGAUAGAGUAUGCCAUUCUAUUUCCACUCUGAUGAUUACUUUUGUGGGGUACCCAUUAUUUUCUUCUUUUUUUUUCUUUCACUCAUAUAAGACUUG